RNAcentral lists this ribosomal RNA (495 nucleotides) under uncultured bacterium. RNAcentral describes it as "partial 16S ribosomal RNA". It matches the Rfam family "Bacterial small subunit ribosomal RNA", at positions 28 to 507 of the family's 1533-position model. The record is from RNAcentral.
GACGAACGCUGGCGGCGUGCCUAAUACAUGCAAGUAGAACGCUGAAGGAGGAGCUUGCUUCUCUGGAUGAGUUGCGAACGGGUGAGUAACGCGUAGGUAACCUGCCUGGUAGCGGGGGAUAACUAUUGGAAACGAUAGCUAAUACCGCAUAAUAGUAGAUGUUGCAUGACAUUUGCCUAAAAGGUGCAAUUGCAUCACUACCAGAUGGACCUGCGUUGUAUUAGCUAGUUGGUGGGGUAACGGCUCACCAAGGCGACGAUACAUAGCCGACCUGAGAGGGGGAGCGGCCACACUGGGACUGGGACACGGCCCAGAAUACUACGGGAGGCAGCAGUAGGGAAUCUUCGGCAAUGGACGGAAGUCUGACCGAGCAACGCCGCGUGAGUGAAGAAGGUUUUCGGAUCGUAAAGCUCUGUUGUAAGAGAAGAACGAGUGUGAGAGUGGAAAGUUCACACUGUGACGGUAUCUUACCAGAAAGGGACGGCUAACUACGUG